This 437-nucleotide unclassified non-coding RNA is filed under the name Hevea brasiliensis (rubber tree). Lineage: Eukaryota; Viridiplantae; Streptophyta; Magnoliopsida; Malpighiales; Euphorbiaceae. The record is from RNAcentral.
GUUGACCAACAAAAUAAGAAGCUGCGAAUAAGAUCCAGAUCUCGGUCAAGGUCAAAGUCACGGCCACCAGGUGAGGUUGCCCCUGGAGAGGGCUUUAAGGACUCUGCUCAGAAGGUGAAAGCCCUCAAACUUGCUAAGAAAUCUGUUAAAAAGAGGAACAAGGAUGCUCGCCGAGGAGAGGCAGAUAGAGUUAUUCCUAGUCUCAAACCUAAGCACUUAUUUUCUGGGAAGCGUUCCAUUGGGAAAACCCAAAGACGCUGAUUAUUCAAGGGGAAGGCGUGAUUAUAUUUUAAAGAGUUGUGCUGAGCUGACGUGGAUUGUAUUUGCUGCUUACAUGCCAAUAUCAUUUAUUUACUUAACUGCCCUGUUUGGGGCAGUGAAUGAGUUUUUUGUUUGAUCUUUGUCUGCUAAGUGCUAAGCCAAUUUUGAAUGAGAGA